This 91-nucleotide transfer RNA is filed under the name Acetobacter sp. CAG:977. RNAcentral describes it as "transfer RNA-Ser(CGA)". It matches the Rfam family "tRNA". From Rfam's summary of the family: Transfer RNA (tRNA) molecules are approximately 80 nucleotides in length. Lineage: Bacteria; Pseudomonadati; Pseudomonadota; Alphaproteobacteria; Acetobacterales; Acetobacteraceae. The record is from RNAcentral. RNAcentral also lists the same sequence under 1 other name.
GGAGAGGUGGCAGAGUGGUCGAAUGCGGCAGACUCGAAAUCUGUUGACCGGUUUAUCCGGUCCGGGGGUUCGAAUCCCCCCCUCUCCGCCA